GACGAACGCUGGCGGCGUGCUUAACACAUGCAAGUCGAACGGAAAGGCCCUGCUUUUGUGGGGUGCUCGAGUGGCGAACGGGUGAGUAACACGUGAGUAACCUGCCCUUGACUUUGGGAUAACUUCAGGAAACUGGGGCUAAUACCGGAUAGGAGCUCCUGCUGCAUGGUGGGGGUUGGAAAGUUUCGGCGGUUGGGGAUGGACUCGCGGCUUAUCAGCUUGUUGGUGGGGUAGUGGCUUACCAAGGCAUUGACGGGUAGCCGGCCUGAGAGGGUGACCGGCCACAUUGGGACUGAGAUACGGCCCAGACUCCUACGGUAGGCAGCAGUGGGGAAUAUGGCACAAUGGGCGGAAGCCUGAGGCAGCAACGCCGCGUGCGGGAUGACGGCCUUCGGGUUGUAAACCGCUUUCGCCUGUGACGAAGCGGGAGUGACGGUAAUGGGUAAAGAAGCACCGGCUAACUACGUG
Molecule: ribosomal RNA, 468 nt
Filed under: uncultured bacterium
Lineage: Bacteria
Description: partial 16S ribosomal RNA
Rfam family: Bacterial small subunit ribosomal RNA
Source: RNAcentral